AACGCGAAGAACCUUACCCAGACUUGACAUGCAGAUGACGGUAUCAGAGAUGGUACUUCCCGCGAGGGCAUUUGCACAGGUGCUGCAUGGCUGUCGUCAGCUCGUGCCGUGAGGUGUUGGGUUAAGUCCCGCAACGAGCGCAACCCUUAUCAUUAGUUGCCAACACGUGAAGGUGGGAACUCUAAUGAGACUGCCUGGGUUAACCAGGAGGAAGGUGAGGAUGAUGUCAAGUCCGCAUGGCCCUUAUGUCUGGGGCUACACACGUGCUACAAUGGUUGGUACAGAAGGCAGCGAAGCCGUGAGGUGGAGCAAAUCCGUAAAGCCAACCCCAGUUCAGAUUGCAGUCUGCAACUCGACUGCAUGAAGAUGGAAUUGCUAGUAAUGGCGUAUCAGCUACAGCGCCGUGAAUACGUUCCCGGGCCUUGUACACACCGGCUAC
RNAcentral lists this ribosomal RNA (439 nucleotides) under uncultured bacterium. Its description in RNAcentral is "partial 16S ribosomal RNA". It matches the Rfam family "Bacterial small subunit ribosomal RNA", at positions 958 to 1397 of the family's 1533-position model. The record is from RNAcentral.